Molecule: long non-coding RNA, 366 nt
Filed under: Setaria viridis
Lineage: Eukaryota; Viridiplantae; Streptophyta; Magnoliopsida; Poales; Poaceae
Description: long non-coding RNA (SVIR_LNC007776)
Source: RNAcentral
AAACUUAUAGAAUCAGCCGAAGAUCAUGUCGAUGUAGCCCUACCAAUCCGUACGAACUCGUGAAAGAAAAAUGUUUUAGCGAAGUCGCCAACUUGAAAGUAAAGUAUGAGGAAAAAGUAGAUUUGUUGUAUUGAAUGAUGUGUUUUUUUACAAGCCUCUCGAGGCAGCUAUUUAUAGCCUGUUACAACUGAUUUCCUAACCGACUAGGAUUUAUCUCUAAUUUUAAACGACAAAAAAUAUUCACAAACACGACUCAUAUUCGAGUUGGUUAUUAUUUUCCCACGGGCCUAUCUCUUUAUUCAACAAAUCUUCAUCUUGGCCCACCUUAGGCCCAAACUGGCUAAGCCACUUUGACUCCCAAUCGGC